GUUGGCUGAGGUGUACGAAAAGAUAGCGCAGUCGUUGGUUUCUUACUUGAAAACAAAAUACCGUAGCAUUAAUUAAAAAAGUUUCGAAAUUAGUAAAUAGAUAUAAAUGUGUUCGUUGAGAAAAUAUGAGAUAUACACGUAUUUUCUUUUAAUAUAUUGACAGUUGAUUUCAGCUUUCCUUGAUGAAAAAUAACAAGACUCCUGUACGCUUGAAAUCAAGUAAUUACCAGACAUCUCUGAGGGUUCGUGCAUGUCCACAAAAUCUCCCUCAUAGUUCAACUUUACACUCUGCAGUUCAUCCAUGGUGCGUUGUGGACCGUCUGGGAGAAAUAUCGAACACAGAGAAGAGUUACUGCCACACACGGUGAUUACCGCCCUUUGAAGAGCCGCUAACGAGACAUCUAGCGUUCUUAUUACGUCAGACGCUUGCAUACGUGUGACGUCAUUGACGCUUGGCGAUGGUAUCCUGUUAACAGAUCUUUCCUGCGCAUACUUGGAUAUCCACAUGUUUUUUGUAGUAGUUUUAACGGACUGCCCCGCAAUAAGCCUGUUUAAAUGAUUGUUGAACAUUGCGUUCUGUUUUGCGUAUCUCUGAAACAAUAUUGUGCCGUACGGUAACGGAAUCGGCGUGAAAUCGACCCAGUUUUCUCUACUCUCAAUAAUUAUCCAUGUUUUUACAACUAAUCGUGAAGUCAGGCUUCGGAAGAAAUAGUCAAUAUCCCCAGACGUUCCAAAGAUCAACACCGUGCUCGCGCUGGAUGUUGUGAUGGUAUCAACAACCGGUGAAAUCUCGUGCGAUGCACGUGGCAAAUGUCUGUGAAACGCAAUGCAUACAUUAUUUGAUUUAGUGCUGUCGGACAAGGAAUCUAUAGAAAAGCCGGUCAUAUUCUGGGACGUCAGAAGCCCUAUGUGGGUCCAGUUCAUCGCCUUUAAGAAUUCCGCGACAGCGUCAUAACUGUACAUAGACGGAUCAUAUACUAGCCCGCCCUUCACGUAGAUUCUGCCUAACGGGUCCAUUUGCAAUGCUAACUUCCCUAUUGCCCCAGCUCCAUUAGGCAAUUGAUGUGCGUCAAAGUCAAACGAUAGAUACACUGGGACUUUUAAGGGCGUCGGGGACCAAUGCUGCGAAUGAUUAAAUGCAUAUUUACAAGACUCAAAAUUAGCCAAUAUCUGGGCCCCUCUAUUAAAGUCAGAACAAGUGUCAAACAGAAUCGCUCCAAUGGAUAUGUUCCUAAAAUUUGACGGAUGCCUACUUUUGUAGCUCUGCACACCGAACAAGAACGCCUCGGAAAUGACGUCAUAGUUGUCGCGGGGUCUUAGCCCGCUACACGUGUUACCAGCACCAAUUUUGUUCCACACAGCUGAUAGAGGAACCAUUGCCGCAAUGACGAGGUCCCCGGGGAUGUAGACGUACUCCCCGUCGAACAUCAAAUUGUCCGCACUUUUGAAGCAGAGGGACGCGUUACAUCCCGGGCACCACGUGGUACAUGCGCUUUGCGGGAAAGGCUCCGAGCUAGCUAUCCAGUACGAUACGUCUGGGGUUACUUCCUUAUCACGUGUCGUUGAAAACACGCCCUUCUGUAAAUACACAAUAAAGUCUUAUCUGUAAUAAUACAGACUGUGCAUAUUGUAUUAAGAGAUUUUAGCAUUUCACAAUUGGUUGAUGAUUGAAGCCAUAAACCAAAAUGCAACUACCGACCGAGUAACAAUUGAAUGCAUAUUCAAUUUGCGGUAUAGCUUUCAUAUAUUUUCAUACUAAUACACACAA
Long non-coding RNA from Dreissena polymorpha, 1768 nucleotides. RefSeq lists it as uncharacterized. The record is from RefSeq and is a predicted model, not a curated record. The transcript has 2 exons. Lineage: Eukaryota; Metazoa; Mollusca; Bivalvia; Myida; Dreissenidae.